Molecule: long non-coding RNA, 429 nt
Filed under: Castor canadensis (American beaver)
Lineage: Eukaryota; Metazoa; Chordata; Mammalia; Rodentia; Castoridae
Description: lncRNA (ENSCCNG00000013441.1)
Source: RNAcentral
CGGCUGGGUUUGUUAUUGUCGACUCCGGCUCUUCCACCGCGGAGCACGCCGGGAAACUGCCGGCCGGGGCUGCGCGAGGCGGCGCGGAGAGGCGUCUGCGCAGGUCCGGAAGUCGCUUGGCUGCCGGGAAAGGGGCGGCUCUGUAGUGGCCCUGGGCCUGGCAGGCAGCUGGGUUGCCCUACCCUGACCCCGCAACCAUUUCUAGAGCGGCCUGUUGUGGUGUUUGUCGCCGGCCGGCGCGAGCUUCCCCAAGGCUGGAAGAAAUCAGAAAUGACUGACUCACCUUACACUUCAAUGUAAACGUUUAAGGGUAAGAAUCAAAUCCAGUCCACAUGCCCCAGAUCUUAGCAUUCUGAGGGAGUCAGAAGCCCCUUCUGGAAUUUUUGUAAAGGUAUGGACAUUUUCACUCAAAACCAAUGCACAAAGGUC